This is a long non-coding RNA of Lycium barbarum (goji berry), 785 nucleotides long. RefSeq lists it as uncharacterized. The transcript has 3 exons. The record is from RefSeq and is a predicted model, not a curated record. Lineage: Eukaryota; Viridiplantae; Streptophyta; Magnoliopsida; Solanales; Solanaceae.
GGAGACAUCUGGUUAGGGAGAUAUGAACGUUUUAAGACAGAAAGGUCAUGCUGGACAGUGGACUUGGUCCAACCCGAACUCAAGUUGGGUCAGACCCAUUUCCACUUAAUAUUUAAGGGAAAUGUCCAACCCUAGCAGCCUCCUUCCCUCAUAUUUUCAGAUUUUAGAGAGAGAGAAAGGAUAGUUAGAGAGAGAAAGGAGAGGAUCCAACAAGUUGAAGGCCUCAAAUCCCAAGGCUCGUGAAGGAUAAAGUGUAGUACAAGUUCUUGCCGUCGUUCUAAGCUACAAAUCAAACUUUGGAAGUUGAUUUCGUGGUGGAUGCUCACAAAAGAUCAAAGUUGAAAGGGGUGACGAACAUUGUAUUACGCUCAAAGGCUGGAAUUAAGGCAACGAUAUACAGGUUGACGACUCAGCUAUUUAGGAGUGUACGUAUCAGCUACUGGUGAGCCCCAAAUUCCUUCGGGGCGUUGUCAUCUAUCUAGUUAAUUCAGUUUAUAGGCAGUUUUAUUAUUCAGUACUCUUAGAGGCUUCAUAGACACAGUUCAGAUAGUCAGAUAUUUGUUAUGUUAGCCUUGUAGACAGUUAUACUUAGUCAUUCAGUUGUUUUGGUUUAGCCAUGUUAGCUACUUUCAGAUAUAUUUCAGAUUGUCUAAGUAUUUCCGCAUUAUGAUUUCAGUCAGACCUUUAGUAUAUCAGCAUGUGUUUAAUUGUUUCCACAUUCAGUUAUGUUUUGAUAUCACAUGUUGAUUCAGUCAGCCAGUUGGUUCGCUCGGUCACAUGCAGUC